ACAAUAAUCAGGUAUAGUAGCCUAUAAAGGAACGAAUGAUUGACCCCGGUAAAAAAAAAAAAGAAAAAAGCUCUAAAUCUGUAUCUUAUUAAAAACCUAUGAACAGCUAACGUCAGUGAAACCUUACAUUGCUUCAUCUACCCUGAGAUAGAUGAAGCAAGUCCUUUAACGUCACUAUGUAAAAGCCCCUGAUGUCAGUGUUUCCUGUUGCAUAACUUUGAUGAUCAUCAUUUGAAUGAUCAUUUCCACAGAGGUCGGAGCGGGACUUCACCUUAUAAAUUACAAAUAGGGAGGAGUAACACAAUUUUUAAGAGGAUGCAUACUGUGCCACUGGAGCCCAGCAUGGCUCUCCACUUCCACCCAUUCUGGCGGACGCAUGCAGUCAAUCAGCAGCAUUGAUACUGAACUGACUGAGCUGAGGCACCAUGAAGCGGCAUCUGACAUGGACAGGACAAGUCUGAGAUCAGGUCUCUGUGUCCAAGCCAUGAAAACGUUCUAUUUCUAAGCAUCUCCACACAUCCCAAACAGAUGGAGAUCAUUUGUUUACUACCUGUUUUGCUGGGCGUAAAAACAGGCAGAGGCACGGGAGGGCGGUGGGCGAGCACAUGUAGAUGAGGAGAUGCCCAUGUGGUGGUGUAUCAGGAACAGGCACGAGGUUCAGCCAAGAGCGCCUGGCAGCACCAGCUCAUCCUUCGGCCACGUGCUCUGCUGGGGACAGAGGAACACAUGCUCGUGCCCUGUGAUAUCGGCCACCACCUGAAUCAAGUAUUCCUCUCCAUGGCAACGCAGGCUUUUAUUAUGGUGAAUUUCUCAUGGAUUACAUCCCUUGUAAAUGCUCUAAAUAACUAAAUGUUGAAAUGAACAAAAUGUUGGAGCAUUUUUUUGAGUAAUGCCAUAAAAUGAUCCUUACAUGCAACUGAUUACAAAAUGUUAUUGUGAGAGAAAAGUAAUUCACUCAGUGCAUAAACUAGUUAAUUACUAGCCCUCCCAUUCCAUGCUACUGAGUUAGAUUCGUUUUGGUGUUUUCAAGUACAGUAAAAAGUAACAUCUGACAACAAUUAAUUGAACCAUUGAGCCAUGUUUUACCCUCUGCCCCCCUGUAUAUCAAUAUUCUUAAAAAGUUAUAACACUCAGCAAAUAGUUUCAGCCUUUUUGACUAGAUAAUCAACACACAUUCUCUACGGUAUAUAUAUCAAAUAAACUAUACCAGUAGUAGGUUAAACAACAACAAAAAAAAGUUUCUAAAUGUCUGAACCUGAACUCAUUGUUAAAAAAUAUAUAUAUAUAUGUAUAUAUAAGGUAAAUUAGAUAAAUUCCUAUACCCUUUGGUCAGCACGAUUAUUUCACCUUCAUCCACUAAUGCAAAUGUUCAAAUAUACACAACAAAAGAUAUGAGCUGUGACAUUCAUGCUAAAAUGGACAGUAGCUCCCUGCAUCACCUGCCUGUUUCCAAGCAGUGUGAUGCAUGACAGAACACACAAACUAAUGAUUUAACUAAAUCACGAGUCAGCCCCUGAGCCAGAGGCAAAACCAGCAUUUUCACCGAAGGAAUUAGUUUCACGACACAAUUCAGUUUAAUCUACAGCACAUGCUUCAUCAGUCUGUUUAAAUGCUGUUAAUGAAUUCUACAUAUUAAAGCUGUAGGUUGUAAAUGUUGGCAAAUUGGGGCACAUGAUAAAUGUAAGUGAACCCUGUGUCCACUAUGUACACGUGUAAAAAAACGUCUGCUGCAAUCUACAAGACAAACAAAGACGUAAAUGUAGAUGUAAAAAUAGCAUUUAGGAAUAAGACUAAAUAAAAGCAACUGCAAAAGUCAAUCAUCUAUACAUUGUUCAGGAAAAGGUUUGUAGCCUAUUGAAUUUACUUUAGCACAGAUCUUUGUGUGGCAGUCAGGUGAAGAAGUUUCCCCUGACUGUUGAACACAAACAUUCAUCAGAAACCAAAGUCCUCCAUUAUACUGUACAGUAAAUAACAUAUAAAAAUAUAAAAAUCUGCAUGUUUGGUGACUCAUUUGCAAGAGCAUUAGCUAUAACUCUAUAUUGAUGUGCAGUAUACAACAGCUUUGACUUCUCUGUGUGGUUGAGCCAGAUUUAAAAGGAAUUAAAAAAAAAAAAAAAUCAGCAUUUAAGCGACAUUCAGAGACACACAUGGUCAGUGAUCAUCACAAACAGGCGAUAUCCAAUUUAAUAAAAGUGUUUGAGAAUGUUUAAUAAACCAUCAUCUCAUCAUCAUCCCAUUAAGUUCCUCACAGAAUUUAUACGCAGGCUGUCUCCUUCUGACUCCUUCCCUCACACAGACUGACUGAAUGAAUUGUUGAAGGGAUGGUAAAAGGAAGCAGCACUUCUACAGCGCACAAAGGGAGCCAAGAUAUAAUUUAACAUGCUGUUUUACAAGUGGCCAAAGCUAAAUCUGUGUUUACACAAGGAUUUAACUAAGACUAUUAAGCUCAGCGCUUUAAAAGAUGAUUUGCAGAGCAACAGCAAACUGCCCCACAAUCCUCCCCUGCUGCACCAUGGUGGCAGGUGAGGCGUUUGCUGGACCGCUGAAAUCUGCCAGCUACAGAGGCAAGUGCACCACUUCUGUUUUCCUUUGAUCCACGGGGGUAUGGACCAAACAUGAAGUUCUCGAACAUAUAGAAAAGUAAUGACUCAGGAUCAAAUUGAGUCUGUCGAACUGAGCGUGAGCAUGUCUUCAGCCCGUAACGUUUCUGGUUAGAAUACAGAAGGGAGACACCAACACAGGAAUACCUGUACA
This is a long non-coding RNA of Seriola aureovittata, 2754 nucleotides long. RefSeq lists it as uncharacterized. The record is from RefSeq and is a predicted model, not a curated record. Lineage: Eukaryota; Metazoa; Chordata; Actinopteri; Carangiformes; Carangidae. The transcript has 4 exons.